UACGUAGGGAGCAAGCGUUGUUCGGAAUUACUGGGCGUAAAGGGCUCGUAGGCGGCCAACUAAGUCGGACGUGAAAUCCCUCAGCUUAACUGGGGAACUGCGUCCGAUACUGGAUGGCUUGGAUUUGGGAGAGGGAUGCGGAAUUCCAGGUGUAGCGGUGAAAUGCGUAGAUAUCUGGAGGAACACCGGUGGCGAAGGCGGCAUCCUGGACCAAUAUUGACGCUGAGGAGCGAAAGCCAGGGGAGCAAACGGG
This 253-nucleotide ribosomal RNA is filed under the name uncultured bacterium. Its description in RNAcentral is "partial 16S ribosomal RNA". It matches the Rfam family "Bacterial small subunit ribosomal RNA", at positions 524 to 776 of the family's 1533-position model. The record is from RNAcentral.